This 384-nucleotide long non-coding RNA is filed under the name Carassius auratus (goldfish). Its description in RNAcentral is "lncRNA (ENSCARG00000000471.1)". Lineage: Eukaryota; Metazoa; Chordata; Actinopteri; Cypriniformes; Cyprinidae. The record is from RNAcentral.
AUGGAUGUGUCGAGCAACAGUUCCAGUGAUGAGGCAGAACCGCAAACUUUAAGCUGCAGAAGACAAGAGUAUGAGGAUCAUGUGAAUGGCUCCCAGAAAUCACUUGUUCGUAGACCAAAAUCCUCCUCCAUGGUAGACCUGGACGAUGCCAAUCUCAAACAAGGCACAAAAGUCAGUGUCAAAAAGAAGUGGUCGGAAGAAGAGGUUGGGGCAGUUGAAAAGCAUUUGAUGCAUUUCAUACGCAGCUGUCGAGUUCCUGGGAAGACGGACUGUGUCUCAUGCCUGUUAGCUGAGCCUGAAGCACUGAAAAACAGAGACUGGUCUGCUAUUAAGUUUUAUAUUAAUAACAGAAUUACUGCAUUGAAAAGACAACAGAGUCGGUAG